This 442-nucleotide ribosomal RNA is filed under the name uncultured bacterium. RNAcentral describes it as "partial 16S ribosomal RNA". It matches the Rfam family "Bacterial small subunit ribosomal RNA", at positions 338 to 795 of the family's 1533-position model. The record is from RNAcentral.
CCUACGGGCGGCAGCAGUAGGGAAUCUUUCACAAUGGGCGAAAGCCUGAUGGAGCAACGCCGCGUGCAGGAUGAAGGCCUUCGGGUUGUAAACUGCUUUUAUAAGCGAGAAAUAUGAUGGUAACUUAUGAAUAAGGAUCGGCUAACUACGUGCCAGCAGCCGCGGUCAUACGUAGGAUCCGAGCAUUCUCCGGGGUGACUGGGUGUAAAGAGUUGCGUAGGUGGGAUAAUAAGUAGAGAGUGAAAUCUGGUGGCUCAACCAUUCAGACUAUUAGCUAAACUGUUAAGCUCGAGACCGUUAGGGGUAACUGGAAUUGCUAGUGUAGCAGUGAAAUGCGUAGAUAUGAGAAGGAACACCAAUAGCGUAGGCAGGUUGCUGGGACGGUUCUGACACUAAGGCACGAAAGCGUAGGGAGCAAACGGGAUUAGAUACCCCUGUAGUC